Molecule: long non-coding RNA, 6441 nt
Filed under: Diabrotica virgifera virgifera (western corn rootworm)
Lineage: Eukaryota; Metazoa; Arthropoda; Insecta; Coleoptera; Chrysomelidae
Description: uncharacterized LOC126884976
Source: RNAcentral
AUUGGUAACUAAUUUUUCCAACUACCUCUACCGAAACUAUAGUUUUCUUGACCUGAUUGUAGGGAGCGUCGUACUUUUCCUCCCUAGGGAGUAAAAUUAAAAGGGACGUCAUGAGCUGCAGCCAACAAAGUUAAGAGUGCUGUGAUCGUAGCCAACUUUCGAUAGGAGGCAGUAAUGCAAGAAGAAGAUCCGUCCUCUUUGUCUUCUUUCAAGAACGUUUCAUUAAUUUAUUUAUCUUCUAUUAAUAAUCUCUCUAAAUUAUAGUCACUUCUGCUAACCACUUGACCAAAGAAUUGUAGAAUUCAGUACAGAGAUAUUGUGGGCAGCCUUUUUUACUUUAUCGUACUAUAUACGUAGUAUAGUAUAAUAGAUAAAGUUAUAGGAUCGUGCAAAAACAAAUUUUUAGAUUUCACUUUUUUUCGACGUUUUGAGUCCCUCUGAGUCUAAAAAGCAAAUAAAAAAACAUGUCGGAAGUAUGUACGUACGUACGUAUGUACGUACGUACGUAUGUACGUAAUACGUAUGUCACCACCGCCCAGCAAAAACUACCGGACCGAUUUUGAUGAAAUUCGGUAUAAGUAAGUUUAAGAGUUUUUGCAUUUUUGCAAGUUUUGACCGAAAUGAAUGAAAUUCGACUCAAAGUAAGCUCAUCGAUAGAUAAAUAAAAAUACGGAAUUUGACAUUUCCAAAUUCAAAAUGGCGGCCAACAUGGCCGACCGCCCACCCGACACAUUUCCCUACCUAUCUAAAAAUUUGUUUAAGAUAAGUUUAAUUUUCAAAAGUCGUUAUAUAGCCAAAGGAUGGGGCUAUAAGAAGGAUGUUAUUGUUUUUCAGAAAAUGUUACGGGUUGCCUAUAUUUAAGGGGUCAAAAUUUGACAUAAAUUUGAACUACAUUUUCUCAAAAAAGGCUCAAAGGAUUUUUUUUUAUUUUUUGACAUGUUUUUGAUAUACUAUCGGUGAAUGGAAUAACAUUAGCUAGAUUUCUUAACUCCCCAUAGGAGGGGAGUUAUGAAUUUUUUAUUAAAAAAUAUUCGAGUGCCCGUAACUUUCUUCUUAAUAGAAACUAAAAUUUGAAAUUUUGCAGACGUAUACGGUACUUUAUUAUCUAUUAUCACAAUAAAUUUUACCAAAAAUAUGGCUUCCGGUUGAACCGGAAAUGAAUAAAAAAUUUUAAUUUUGUAGAUACGCUCUAUAUAUUUUUACAUACUUUAAAAGAAUGCAAAAUUACCUUUCCAAUGACAUAAAAUUCAUUGCUAUAGCUCAAAAACUCGAAAAGUUACGGCAAAUAAAAUUUUGCUAUAAUCUUAUGUGUGUCCUCUCUCAAACGAUCAUAGCAGAGCAUUAUUGUAGGGCAGUCAAUGAGGGUAUUUGGCUCCGAAUUCCAUCCUACUACAUUGAUAUACUUGAUAUUUUCACAGUAAGUAGGGAAUAGCUCAAGAAACAAAAUCUACCCUAUAUACUAUGGAACUUUUAUCUUGGGGGGGUUCCCACUUCUUCAAGGGGGUGGAAAAUUUGUUGGUCAAAAUAAGCACGGAAGUGGCUAAAGAACCUAUUUCUAAGCAAAAACUGGUUUAUACUUUUUUUUUUGAGAACUCAAUACUUUUUGAGUUAUGCGUAGUUCAAAAUUGGCCAUUUUCAUUGAAAAAUGACACCUUUUCGGACGGAUUUUUUGUGAAUACCUUAAAAACUAUGCAUCGAACUAAAAACACUAUAUAUAGUAUGGUAUAGUUAGACCCAAACCCAGACGUCCAAAGUGAAAGUUAUCCUCCAAUACCAAAUUGUUCUAUAUGGUCCACAUAAUGUUCAGAAAAAAGUCACACCAUUUUGAGCGUCGGGUUUGGGGGGGAGAGGGUGGAGAAAUCUGCAAAUUCGUAGUUUUUUAUGUUUUUCGUUAAUAUUUCUAAAACUAAGCGGUUUAGCAUGAACAACCCUCUACACAAAAUUGUUCUACAUUAAAUUUGAAAUAAAAAAGGUCCUAUGCAUAACCCUUCUAAAAUGAACGGUUCCAGAGUUACGGAGGUAGUAUAGUAUAAUUGGUCCAAAAAAGGCCUAACCCAGACACCCAAAGUAAAAGUUUUCCUUCAACACCAAAUUGUUCUAUAUGGUCCACAUAUUGUUCAGUAAAAAGUUAGAUUAUUUUGAGCGUCCGGUUUGGGGGGGAGAUGGGGGAGAAGUCGGUAAAUUAGUAGUUUUUUUAAGUUUUUCGUCAAUAUUUCUAAAACUAUACUUUAGCGUAAGGAAUGUUCUAUAAAAAAAUGUUCUACAUAAAAUUUGAAACAAAAAAGGUUCUAUACAUAAUUGUUAUAAAAUCAACGGUUCCAGAGUUACGGAGGGUGAAAAGUGGAGGCUUUCGAUACUUUUUAUAUUUACCGAUUUCUCCCUCCUCUCCUCCCCAAACCCGACGCUCAAAAUGGUGUGACUUUUUUUUGAAUAUUAUGUGGACCAUAUAGAACAAUUUGGUGUUGGAGGAUAACUUUCACUUUGGAUGUCUGGGUUUUUGGUAUAGUUAUAUCAUAAAUAUUGCCCAAAAAAUAUUAAAAGUAUCGAAACCUUCGUCAUUUCACCCUCCGUAACUCUGGAACCGUUGAUUUUAUAACAAUUCUGUAUAAAACAUUUUUUGUUCUAAAUUUCCCGUAGAUCAUUUUUGUUUAUAACAUUGUUUGCGCUAAAGCAUAGUUUUAGAAAUAUUGACGAAAAACGAAAAAAAAAAACUACUAAUUUACCGGCUUCUCUCCCAUCUCCCUCCCAAACCGGACGCUCAAAAUGGUGUAACUUUUUACUGAACAAUAUGUGGACCAUAUAGAACAUUUUGGUGUUGGAGGAAAACUUUUACUUUGUAUGUUUGGGUUAGGUCUUUUUUUGGACCAGUUAUACAAUACUACCUCCGUAACUUUGGAACCAUUCAUUUUAGAAAGAUUAUGCAUAGGGCCUUUUUUUUCCAAAUUCAAUGUAGAACAAUUUUGUAUAGAGGGUUGUUCAUGCUAAACAGCAUAGUUUUAGAAAUAUUGGCGAAAAACUUCAAAAAACUACGAAUUUACCGAUUUCUCCCCCCUCUCCCCCCCAAACCCGACGCUCAAAAUGGUGUGACUUUUUUCUGGACAUUCUGUGGACCAUAUAGAACAAUUUGGUGUUGAAGGAUAACUUUCACUUAGGAUGUCUGGGUUAUGCCAUCUUUUGGAUCAACUAUACUAUACUAAUAAAACAUUUUUUAGAUUAUAAAUAAUAAAGAGAUUCGUUUCUUCGUAAAUGUUCUAUUUAUAAUACAAAAAGAGAUACGGUAGGUGAAAAUAGUUUGUUUUUUGGUGCAUGCUCAAAUUGGUGUAUUCAACUUGAAAUAACAGAGGAACGGUAGGUUUUAGGUGUAUAAUACUACCAACACCUUUUGUAGUGUUUGAAAAGGCCUUUAAAACGAGCACCGGUAAAUGUCGGUUACACACAAAUUAAGCGAGAUAUGGUGCAAAAAAUAUAUGACUAAUGUACUUUAAGGAAAAAUGAAAAGUAUAUACAUUUAACUCUCCAUUGACCAUAAUUUAAAUGCAUUUUUUUUUCUUUUACAAUACCUUUUAACCCUGCUGUCCUGUUCGGGUCUAUUUGACCCAAAAAAUAAUUUAUUUCUUAUUUUACAAAUUAUUACGCGGCGUAACGAUUUGGUGUUUCGUGACUUUAUUACCUAAUAUGAGGUCUUUCAAUUGCAUAUGAGAUAAACAAUCAACUUCCUGAUUUUUUUGAUAAAAAUGAAAUUGUUACCUAUGGUACGUUCGGGUCAAUGUGACCCGAGUAUUUAAACCGUUAAAAAUUACUUGUGUAUGUGUGUUUAGUUGGCAGUAUUCUAUAUUAGCAGUACCUGUGUGUUUGUCAGCCGCAUACGUCUGUAAAUAAAAACAGGUUACUGCAAGCUAAAACUUGUAAAAUCAACUGUAGUGUAGCUGGACGAUGUUGCAAACCAAAUUAUAAAUAUGACCAACAUGGACAGACAGCAUGUAUUUGGAACCAACUGGAAAGACAUAAAUAAAGUUGGUUUCCAAGCAUACAUUGGUUUUUUAUUUUUAGCUCGAGUUUAUAAGUCCCAUGGUGAAUCAACUAAAAGUUUAUGGAAUGAAGAAACGGGUCGUACUAUAUUUAGAUCAACAAUGUCGCUUGAUCUAUUUACAGAAAGUUUGCCAGUAAUACGUUUUGAUAACAAAACUACUAGACAGGAUAGAAGACGUUUUGAUAAACUUGCGGCAAUACGUGAAAUUUAUGAAACAUGGGUAGACAAUGUAAACAGAACUUUUAACCCUGAUAAAAAUGUUACCGUCGAUAAGCAACUAGUUGCCUUUAGAGGCAACCGCUCUCCCUUCAAAUGGUAUAUUCCAGCAAGCCAGCGAAAUAUGGCACAAAACUUUAGAGUUUAUGUAAUUAUGAACAGUAAAACUUCUUAUGCUCUAAAAUUGAAGAUCUAUACAGAAAUGCGUGUGAUGUGUGACUUGAGUAGUGAUUUGAAAUGCCACAAUAUUACGUGUAUAAUAAUUUUUUUUCAUCGUAAAAUUUGGGAAAAUUUCUUCUAAAACAAAGUAGAUACAACGCCUGGGAUUAUAAGUAAAAUAAACCGGAGCUUUCAGCAAAAAUCGCGAAUAGAGAAGUUCAUAGCUCGUCUUUUUUGCUUCAUGCAAGAUUUGACAAUAUUCCCAAAAAUAAUAAAAAUGUUGUUCUUAUGAGUACUUUGCAUCAUGAAUCGAGGCAUCAUGCAUCAUUUUCAUCAAAUGAAAAAGCCCCAAAUUAUUUUAGAUUACAAUUCCAAUAAGGGAGCAAUGGAUACUCUAGAUUAGCUUGUUGGCACGUAUAUAUGUGAGAAGAGAUAAAUCGCUGGCCAAUGAUUGUUUUUUAUAAUCUACUGGACAUUUCUGCCUACAACGCGUUCGUAUUAUGGGCAUCAAUAAAUAUCCAAUGGAAUACCAAUCAAUUGGGAAAACGGCGAAUUUUUCUUGAGGAAUUGGGAAAAAACUAAUGAAUCUAGUCAUCAUUUCCAGAAAAAAUAUACCAAUAACUAAAGGCUCUUACGAACUGGCAAAAAGGACACGAGAAUGAACAAGUAGACAAGAUGGAAAUGCUAGUGAACCGUCUAUUAAAUCUAACUCCGCCUGCUAAACGAACACGCUGUAAACUUGCCGUAAAAACGAUGACAAGACAAAUUGUUAUAUUGGAUUACAUCACAAACAUAUUUGUAAAAUCCAUUCUUUUUAUUAAUGUCCCAGUUGUAAACUGAAUUAAAUUUUUGUAGAUAUUUGUUACUAGGCUUUUUUGAAAGAAAAAAUGUCUUUUGUUUUUGUUAAGAAGGUUUAAGUUACAUUAAUAACAUAAUUUUUGUUUAGUUAACCAUAAUUUAUUGUUAGUAAAGUUUUAUUUAUCACCAUUAGCUUAUUUUAUUUCGAUUAAGGAGCGUAAACCAUAGUUGGGUCAUAUUGACCCGAACAGUACAUUUGUGUAGUUGACUCGAACGGGACAGCAGGGUUAAUAUAGUGUUAUUUCUAGUUUCAAAAAGUUGAACGAGUUUAAAAUGAAUGGUUUUUGUAAAAAAUGUGAUCAAAUUAUAGAAUGAAUUUUUAAAUUUUCUUAAAAGUCUUUCUUUUUCUCCAUGUAAUUCGAAAAUAAAAAUAUUUCACCCCUGAGAAGUGGUGGGAACCGCCCCCAUGAUAAAAGCGCCAUAGUAUAUAGGAGAGACUUUGAAUUAUGAGAUUGGGCUACUCCCAAAAUUUCAUUAAAAUCCAUGCAGUAGGAUAGAAUUCGGAGAUAAUAUCUUGUUCUUAAUCUCGCGCAUUGACUGGCGUAAUCGAAAUAGAAUGAAAUGCAAAUACUGUAAACUAUUAAUUUCUCAGAAAAAUGAACUAAUUUGAAAUGAAAGUAUGACUAUAAUAUUCUAUUAAUUUAUGCAAUAAUCUGUAUAUCUACAGGGUGAGGCAAAUAAAGGGCCUAUUAGAAAUAUCUCGAGGACUAAAGGCAACAGAAUUAUGAAAAUUGGAAUAAAGCGGUUUUGAAGGAUUAUCUAUCAAAUGAAAAUAUUUUCAUCUCUUUGCAACUUCCGGUUAUACCGGAAGUUGCUUAUGACUUCUUUUUUUUAAUGGGACACCCUUUAUAUACAUUUUUGGAUUCUCUUCGAUGUUUACUUUCUUAAAAUAUGAGGUUUUGUAAUAUUAUACAGGGUAUAUUAAAAGAUAAUUACGUUUUUUAUUAAUUUCGUAGCAAAAUUAACAACCUGUAGAAUUGUAGAAGUUUUACAUCUAAAACUCUACUUACGUUCAAAUGAUUUUUAAUAUACUCUACUAUUGUUAAGAAACAUUAGUGUAGCCAAAUUUUUAAUUUUAGUAUACAGGGUUGGUCGAAACUCGGAAUGAGUAUUUUCUGAGUUUUCUUAAAUGUAACACCCUGUAUUUUAGUAUUGUAAUGAAAUGAUAUUUUAUGGUA